Molecule: long non-coding RNA, 298 nt
Filed under: Gopherus evgoodei (Goodes thornscrub tortoise)
Lineage: Eukaryota; Metazoa; Chordata; Testudines; Testudinidae
Description: lncRNA (ENSGEVG00005016936.1)
Source: RNAcentral
CCUGCUGCCAGGCAGAGUCCCAAAGGUUUCUCCUGUCUCCAGAGUCCGGGGACGUGAAGGCCACUAUUGCCGUGCUCAGCUUCAUCCUCUCCAGUGCAGCCAAACACAGUGUAGACAGCGACUCUCUGUCCAGCGAGCUGCAACAGCUGGGGCUGCCCAAAGAACAUGCCACAGGAUUGUGCCGGUCCUAGGAGGAGAAACAGAGCCCCCUGCAGGACAGCCUGGGGACACACAGCCUGAGAUUGAACCAUCUGGACGCUGUGUCCUGGAGGGUGGAUCAGACGCUCAGCUCCAGUGA